GUCCUUGCCGUAAACGAUGUAUACUUGGUGUAGCUGGACUCAACCCUAGCUGUGCCGGAGCUAACGCGUUAAGUAUACCGCCUGGGGAGUACGCUCGCAAGGGUGAAACUCAAAAGAAUUGACGGGGACCCGCACAAGCAGUGGAGCAUGUGGUUUAAUUCGAUGCAACGCGAAGAACCUUACCUAGGCUUGACAUGCAGUGGACGUAAUCAGAGAUGAUUAUUCCCUUCGGGGCCACUGUGCAGGUGCUGCAUGGCU
Molecule: ribosomal RNA, 258 nt
Filed under: uncultured bacterium
Lineage: Bacteria
Description: partial 16S ribosomal RNA
Rfam family: Bacterial small subunit ribosomal RNA
Source: RNAcentral